Molecule: ribosomal RNA, 463 nt
Filed under: uncultured bacterium
Lineage: Bacteria
Description: SSU rRNA
Rfam family: Bacterial small subunit ribosomal RNA
Source: RNAcentral
AGGAUUAACGCUGGCGGCGUGCCUAACACAUGCAAGUCGAACGAGGUAGCAAUACCUAGUGGCAGACGGGUGAGUAACGCGUGGUCAACCUACCGUUGAGUGGGGGAUAACUAGCCGAAAGGUUAGCUAAUACCGCAUACGAGUUUCGGGGGCAUCCCUGAUUCUUAAAAGGAGCAAUCCGCUCGAUGACGGGACCGCGUCCCAUUAGCUAGAUGGUGGGGUAACGGCCUACCAUGGCACCGAUGGGUAGCUGGUUUGAGAGAGCGACCAGCCACACUGGGACUGAGAAACGGCCCAGACUCCUACGGGAGGCAGCAGUGAGGAAUUUUCCGCAAUGGGCGAAAGCCUGACGGAGCGACGCCGCGUGUGGGAAGAAGGCCUUCGGGUCGUAAACCACUGUCGAAGGGGACGAUAAUGACGGUACCCUUGGAGGAAGCCCGGCUAACUACGUGCCAGCAGCCGC